UCCAGUCAAUAAUAAGUGCUGCUGUGAAGAGAACCAUCCUCACACUGAAUGCUGAACAUCAGCUACUUCCUGCUGCUGAUUUAAACCUUGUUGUAGAGAUGGAACAUUGGCUGUGGAUUAUUCUUGCUGCUCUCUCCUUUGAGUGUAAAGGACAAGACACAGUGACCCAGACAACAGGAGAAGUCAGCGCUACUGAAGGAGACACAGUUACAAUUGGCUGCACAUUUAAGACAACUGACACAAAUGACUAUCUCUUCUGGUACAAACAGCACGGAGACAACAGCCCCACAUUCAUCCUGAGCCGCUUUAAGAUCGGCACGGGGAAAACAGAGGACGAGGACAGAUUCUCAUCCACACUGGAUUCAAGCUUAAGAUCUGUUCCUCUGAAGAUCCAGAAGCUUCAGCUGUCUGACUCUGCUGUGUACUACUGUGCUCUGCAGCCCACAGUGACAGGAAACACCAACACUCUGUACAAAAACCUCUGGAGCAAAGACAACAGGAUACUGCACAACAUCCACCAGAGGGAGCCUCUCUCUGUUCACCUUCAGCAGGAUGUGAUGAUACAGUCUAGAUUAGAUUCUCUAAGACUCACAGCUGUGAUGAAGAGCUCCAGAAACUCAUUGGACAUCCGAGUCUCCUCCUGCUGA
Gymnodraco acuticeps is the source of this 647-nucleotide non-coding RNA. The record is from the annotation of a RefSeq genome assembly. NCBI's taxonomy places the organism in Eukaryota, Metazoa, Chordata, Actinopteri, Perciformes, Bathydraconidae.